This 119-nucleotide ribosomal RNA is filed under the name Bos grunniens (domestic yak). The record is from RNAcentral. Lineage: Eukaryota; Metazoa; Chordata; Mammalia; Artiodactyla; Bovidae.
GCCUCAGGCCGAUCAGCCUGAAGGCGCCCGAUCUCGUCUGAUCUCGGAAGCUAAGCAGGGUCGGGCCUGGUUAGUAUCUUGGAUGGGAGACCACCUGGGAAUCCCGGGUGCUCGAGGCU